RNAcentral lists this ribosomal RNA (1126 nucleotides) under uncultured crenarchaeote. Its description in RNAcentral is "bacterial SSU rRNA". It matches the Rfam family "Archaeal small subunit ribosomal RNA", at positions 277 to 1405 of the family's 1478-position model. The record is from RNAcentral. Lineage: Archaea; Thermoproteati; Thermoproteota.
UGAGAGAAGGAGCCCGGAGAUGGACANUGAGAAANGGGNCCAGGCCCUACGGGGCGCAGCAGGCGCGAAAACUUUGCAAUGUGCGAAAGCACGACAAGGUUAAUCCGAGUGCAACAUGCUGAAUGUAGCUUUUGGUAAAUGUAAAUAGUUUAUUGAAUAAGGGGAGGGAAAGUCUGGUGUCAGCCGCCGCGGUAAUACCAGCUCCCCGAGUGGUCGGGACGAUUAUUGGGCCUAAAGCAUCCGUAGCCUGUUCUGUAGGUCUUAUGUUAAAAUCAAUUGCUUAACAAUUGAACUGCAUGAGAUACCACAAAACUAGGAGGCGGGAGAGGUGGACGGUACUCCACGGGUAGGGGUAAAAUCCUCUGAACCGUGGAAGACCACCAGUGGCGAAGGCGGUCCACCAGAACGCGCUCGACGGUGAGGGAUGAAAGCUGGGGUAGCGAACCGGAUUAGAUACCCGGGUAGUCCCAGCUGUAAACGAUGCAAGCUAGGCGAUGCAUCAGCCACGUGUUGAUGCAGUGCCGCAGGGAAGCCGUUAAGCUUGCCGCCUGGGGAGUACGGUCGCAAGGCUGAAACUUAAAGGAAUUGGCGGGGGAGCACCACAAGGGGUGAAGCCUGCGGUUCAAUUGGAGUCAACGCCGGGAACCUUACCAGGAGAGACAGCAGAGUGAAGGUCAAGCUGAAGACUUUACCAGACAAGCUGAGAGGAGGCGCAUGGCCGUCGACAGCUCGUGCCGUGAGGCGUCCUGUUAAGUCAGGCAACGAGCGAGACCCUUGCCAUUAAUUGCUUCCAUCGAUCGAAAGGUUGGCGGAGCUAGUUAAUGGGACUGCCGUUGAUAAAACGGAGGAAGGAAGGGGCCACGGCAGGUCAGUAUGCCCCGAAACUCUUGGGCCACACGCGGGCUGCAAUGGUAGGCACAAUAGGUACCGAAUUCGAGAGAAUGAGGCAAUCCCAAAAUCCUACCCCAGUUGUGAUUGAGGGCUGCAACUCGCCCUCAUGAAUCUGGAAUCCCUAGUAACCGCGUGUCAACAUCGCGCGGUGAAUACGUCCCUGCUCCUUGCACACACCGCCCGUCGCUUCACCCGAGUUGGGUUUGGGGGAGAUAGUGUCUUAUUGACNUUAUCG